CUACGGGCCGCACCAGUGGGGAAUAUUGCACAAUGGGCGCAAGCCUGAUGCAGCCAUGCCGCGUGUAUGAAGAAGGCCUUCGGGUUGUAAAGUACUUUCAGCGGGGAGGAAGGGAGUAAAGUUAAUACCUUUGCUCAUUGACGUUACCCGCAGAAGAAGCACCGGCUAACUCCGUGCCAGCAGCCGCGGUAAUACGGAGGGUGCAAGCGUUAAUCGGAAUUACUGGGCGUAAAGCGCACGCAGGCGGUUUGUUAAGUCAGAUGUGAAAUCCCCGGGCUCAACCUGGGAACUGCAUCUGAUACGGGCAAGCUUGAGUCUCGUAGAGGGGGGUAGAAUUCCAGGUGUAGCGGUGAAAUGCGUAGAGAUCUGGAGGAAUACCGGUGGCGAAGGCGGCCCCCUGGACGAAGACUGACGCUCAGGUGCGAAAGCGUGGGGAGCAAACAGGAUUAGAUACCCUUGUAGUC
RNAcentral lists this ribosomal RNA (464 nucleotides) under uncultured bacterium. RNAcentral's name for it is "partial 16S ribosomal RNA". It matches the Rfam family "Bacterial small subunit ribosomal RNA", at positions 339 to 795 of the family's 1533-position model. The record is from RNAcentral.